AGUGGGAUAGCUAGGUCAAAUGGUGGUUCCAUUCCAAGUUUCCUAAAGAAUCUCCAUACUGCUUCCCAGAUUGAUUGCACCAUUUGCAGUCCCACCAGCAAU
This 102-nucleotide microRNA precursor is filed under the name Marmota monax (woodchuck). The record is from RNAcentral. Lineage: Eukaryota; Metazoa; Chordata; Mammalia; Rodentia; Sciuridae.